UGUUUAUAAUUUUAUGGUUUUUUUUCAUUAUAUCUAAUAAGUCAUAUUCAUAUAUUUUUUAUCAAUUAUUGUCUAUAAUUACAGUAUAAAGUAGUUUUUCAAGUGAUGCCGUAUAAUCUUGAAACAUCAUUUCAAUAAUAACAACGUUCCAUAUUCAUAAAUAUAAUUUAAAUAUACUUAUAUAAAAUUUACAAAAAUAUAACCCCACUUAUGUAUUAGAAAGUCAAAAAUAACCUACUACUUAUUGUUUUAUUUAUUUUCAAAUGAAAUUAGCAUUCGCCAUUUGUUAACAAUAACUAUUAACAUAGAAAUAUGGUAAUCAGUUUUUUAAUGAGUAAUUCAAAAUAUUUGUAAGAAUAAUUGGUACUUUCUUAUUUCGAUUUUUUCCCAACAAAAAGUUCAUGUUGUCAUUGAUGAUCAACAUAUCGAAAAAGAAUCUAAUAGUUUAUUGCCAUAGAUUUGGCCGACAAAGUUAUGCUUUUUUUUUUUUUUUUUAAUGAAUUGAAAAUUUUUUUUUUUUAGAUUAUUGCAUUUUCAUAAGAAAAUUUUCUCAUCUUGAAACUGUGUGGCAUGUUUUUCUCAUUUAAGUAUUAUUUACUUGAAAUAUUUUCGAGUGACAAUUAAUUGUUAUUAUUAUUAUAAAAUGGAGUCGACUGGAAAUAAAAUAUGAUUGAAAAACUGUUUAUAGUGUUUUGCUUAAAUGAAAAAUUAACAAUUCUUCAUGGAUCGGAAAAUGUUUUAGGGAUGGAGUAAAAUUUUUGAUCUGAUAUGGGAUUUGAAUCAUUAGUUGAAAAACAAUUUUCUAAACUUAUUUCUGAUGAAAUAAUCAAAUCUGGUAAUGUACCCAUUACAGCGCAAAACAAAAGCAAGGUUUAAAGGGUGGUGCUAAAAGUAUUAAAAUAAAAAAAAAAGAUUUAUUUAAGAAGAAAUGUUGUGUCUAUUAUACUUUUUCUCUUCACUGUGAAUUACAAGUAAAUAAAAAAUUUCGUUGUUCUCAAUCAAAUCUAUUACGAUUAAUCAAGUUAAGAUUAUUUCUUUCAUUCUUGUAAUAAGUUUUGUUAGCACACAUAUUAAUGUUAUCAGCAAUGAAAAUAAAAUUGAAAUUAAUAUUUUUUUUUUUAAAUUCAAGUGACAUUUGUCUAAUUAUAUGGUUAAUAUGUUAAAAUAAUAUACGUAGUCGAGAGAACUCUAUUGUCAUAAUUUCAUAGCUACUGCGGUUAGUUAAGAAAUAGUUUCACUAGAAUCAAGAAUCGUUUAAUUUAAAAAAAAAAAAAAAAAUAUAUAUAUAUAUAUAUAUACAAAUCUACUUUAUUUAAAAUAGAUAUAGGGUCCAUAUAUAAAAAGAUGUAUUAAUGUCUAUUCAUCUAUUAAUGAGAAGAGAGCAAGCCUUCGGAAACUUUUUUAUAUAAAUUAAAAUAAUUAAAAAUUAAAUUUAUGAAAUAAAAAUUUGAAAAAAUUGUUUCUACAUAAAAAUUUUUAAUCGUCAGAUGUCAGCUAUUUUCGGUGUCACGAAAUACAAAUCUGUAAAAAUAAGUGAUUAAAAAAGAAAUGAGUUACUUAGAGGUUGCUAUAUAAAAUUUAAUUAAUAAUUAAUCAUAAUAAAUAUGUUAAACUAAGUGCUUGUUUUGAUGACGUUGCAUCUUUCUUGAGUGAAAUCUUGAAUAAUAUUAUAAUAGUAAAAAUUACAGGUUAUGAAUGAAAAUUAAAAAUUUUCAUUAAUUAUAUGUUGUUGUAAACUUCUAUAAAUUCUUAUUUACUAGAUUCCAUUCUACCUUCAAAAACCUCUACUUCGUUGAUUAUCGAGUGUAUGAUUAAAUAGGAACAGGAAUUAUAAAUAUUGUUAUUAGCACUAUCAUUGAUAAAUAAAUAUUUAUCUUCAAAAAAAAAUUAUUUUUCACUUUAUUGAAUUAUUAUUUUGUGUCUGAUUGAAAAAACGUAUUGCUAUAUAAAUAUCUUCAAUAUAGGGAAUAUGAAUAUUUAUUUUACAUACAUUUGAUUUUUGGAACAUUGUUAUUAUUUAUUGAGAUGAUUAAAUUUAUUAUUUUUAAUGUACAUGAAUGAUUUUCACACAUAAUUCUA
This is a long non-coding RNA of Microplitis demolitor, 2079 nucleotides long. RefSeq lists it as uncharacterized. The record is from RefSeq and is a predicted model, not a curated record. Lineage: Eukaryota; Metazoa; Arthropoda; Insecta; Hymenoptera; Braconidae. The transcript is spliced from 3 exons.